Molecule: small nuclear RNA, 93 nt
Organism: Eremothecium sinecaudum
Lineage: Eukaryota; Fungi; Ascomycota; Saccharomycetes; Saccharomycetales; Saccharomycetaceae
Source: RefSeq, a predicted model, not a curated record
GAUCAGUCACGGCAGGUUUCUGAGGCCUGCCAUUAAAGCAUUGUCACUCAUCUAGUUAUAAAUUCAGUGCCCAGUGCUAUAACUCGUCAUGUC